UUAUCGGAGAGUUUGAUCCUGGCUCAGGACGAACGCUGGCGGCGUGCCUAAUACAUGCAAGUCGAGCGGACAGAUGGGAGCUUGCUCCCUGAUGUUAGCGGCGGACGGGUGAGUAACACGUGGGUAACCUGCCUGUAAGACUGGGAUAACUCCGGGAAACCGGGGCUAAUACCGGAUGCUUGUUUGAACCGCAUGGUUCAAACAUAAAAGGUGGCUUCGGCUACCACUUACAGAUGGACCCGCGGCGCAUUAGCUAGUUGGUGAGGUAAUGGCUCACCAAGGCGACGAUGCGUAGCCGACCUGAGAGGGUGAUCGGCCACACUGGGACUGAGACACGGCCCAGACUCCUACGGGAGGCAGCAGUAGGGAAUCUUCCGCAAUGGACGAAAGUCUGACGGAGCAACGCCGCGUGAGUGAUGAAGGUUUUCGGAUCGUAAAGCUCUGUUGUUAGGGAAGAACAAGUACCGUUCGAAUAGGGCGGUACCUUGACGGUACCUAACCAGAAAGCCACGGCUAACUACGUGCCAGCAGCCGCGGUAAUACGUAGGUGGCAAGCGUUGUCCGGAAUUAUUGGGCGUAAAGGGCUCGCAGG
Molecule: ribosomal RNA, 592 nt
Filed under: Bacillus subtilis
Lineage: Bacteria; Bacillati; Bacillota; Bacilli; Caryophanales; Bacillaceae
Description: bacterial SSU rRNA
Rfam family: Bacterial small subunit ribosomal RNA
Source: RNAcentral